RNAcentral lists this ribosomal RNA (589 nucleotides) under uncultured bacterium. RNAcentral's name for it is "bacterial SSU rRNA". It matches the Rfam family "Bacterial small subunit ribosomal RNA", at positions 224 to 806 of the family's 1533-position model. The record is from RNAcentral.
GAUGGGCCCGCGUCCUAUCAGCUUGUUGGUGAGGUAACGGCUCACCAAGGCUACGACGGGUAGCUGGUCUGAGAGGAUGAUCAGCCACACUGGGACUGAGAUACGGCCCAGACUCCUACGGGAGGCAGCAGUGGGGAAUCUUGCGCAAUGGGCGAAAGCCUGACGCAGCAACGCCGCGUGAGCGAAGAAGGCCUUCGGGUUGUAAAGCUCUGUCAGGAGGAAAGAAGGCACCUGGGUUAAUAGCCCAAGGGCUGACGGUACCUCCAAAGGAAGCCACGGCUAACUACGUGCCAGCAGCCGCGGUAAUACGUAGGUGGCAAGCGUUGUCCGGAAUCAUUGGGCGUAAAGAGCGCGUAGGUGGCUUGUCAGGUCUGGUGUGAAAUUUCGGGGCUCAACCCCGAACCUGCAUCGGAAACCGGCUUGCUAGAGUCUGGGAGAGGAGAGUGGAAUUCCUGGUGUAGCGGUGAAAUGCGUAGAUAUCAGGAGGAACACCGGUAGCGAAGGCGGCUCUCUGGAACAGUACUGACGCUGAGGCGCGAAAGCUAGGGGAGCGAACAGGAUUAGAUACCCUGGUAGUCCUAGCCGUAAA